Molecule: long non-coding RNA, 728 nt
Filed under: Monodelphis domestica (gray short-tailed opossum)
Lineage: Eukaryota; Metazoa; Chordata; Mammalia; Didelphimorphia; Didelphidae
Description: lncRNA (ENSMODG00000031748.2)
Source: RNAcentral
UGUGCCUUGCCCAUGGCCACAGCUGUUGACAGGGCGCGCUUUCUGCAGCCCAGUCCCUGUGAGGAGCCCUCAUGGGGCGCUUUUAUCUGAAGAGUUCCUUUGCCCCUUUAGACCUCCCUGGCUUAGAGCUGACGUUCUCCCUGUCAUAUCACUUACGCUCUGAUCAGAGGUGUUUAUCACCCUCUUCUUCUGAGUGAUAUUGUUGCUGUGUAAUUUACUUACUUGGCUGACUUCAGCUUGGAGGCUUGCACUUUGUUGACGGAGAUUGUUUCUAGGGAUUAUCUAAACCUCUUCUCCAUUACCAUUUUUGAAGUGAACAUUAUACAGCUUCGAUGCUGAAGUACAGCUCCCUCCAGCCUUCUCUCUCUUUCUGCAGCCAUCACACACAAGCAUGCCGAAGCCCUGUGUUGGAAUGGAUGGCUCCUGCCUGGGGGCCAUCAUUAUUCCCUCGCCACUUGCCUCAGCAAACCUUGGGGACACUGAAGGCUCCAGCUAAUAUUGAAAUGUCUUCAGCACAUUUGCCCAGCAGCAUGAAGAGAACAUGUGAAGGGGAGGCAGGAGUUGUAAAUAGGUGACCUGACACCCAGGCUGUGUGACCAGAGGCGAGCUGGUUUACUUUCCUGAGACUACAUUUUGUUGAUCCAAUGGGAAUAACGAUACCUACCUUUCUGGCCUCUCAGGGUUAUAAAACUGACAUGAAAUAAUAAAUGUGAAAGUAGAACUUUCCA